Molecule: microRNA precursor, 165 nt
Filed under: Oryza brachyantha (malo sina)
Lineage: Eukaryota; Viridiplantae; Streptophyta; Magnoliopsida; Poales; Poaceae
Description: MIR812 microRNA precursor family
Rfam family: MIR812 microRNA precursor family
Source: Rfam by way of RNAcentral
UUCAAUUUUUGACUCUUCGUUUUAUUCAAAUUUUUUUUACGAUUGAUAUUUUUAUUUUUAUUAAAUGAUAAAUCAUGAAUAGUAUUUUACGUGUGACUAAUUUUUUUCUAAUUUCCUGAAAAUUUUUUAAAUAAGACGGAUGGUCAAACGUUGGACACGAAAACC